Long non-coding RNA from Papio anubis (olive baboon), 1971 nucleotides. NCBI's taxonomy places the organism in Eukaryota, Metazoa, Chordata, Mammalia, Primates, Cercopithecidae. The record is from Ensembl.
AUAUCUAACUAGUAUUAGAUAGUCAAAAUUCAAACCAAUUUGCAUUCAGUUUACUUUAGCAGGAAGUAAUGGAAAGAAAUAGAACAACUGUUUUUUUUUUUUUUUUUUCCUUCUACUAUUUUUCUUUUUUUUGUAGGGAUGAGAUAUAUGGGGACCUUUGAAGCAGAUUGGCUAGCAAGAGCACAAUUCUUUACCUUGUUGCUGUAGCCACUAUCCAGAGGGCUGGACACAGACUAUUUAAAACCACUGUGCAAGAGUCAACAGGAUUAACAUGGAGUCGACUUCCUUGGGAAAUGGAGCCAAAGAGAUUCGAAGGAGACAGAAUACUUCAAGAUAUUGUGCUUUGUACAAAUUGAAGAUUUGCAUCAACCCUGCUUCAAGCAAGUCUAUCGGUGCCAUUUUUCCAACAACAUGUGUUCAUUUUGUGUCAUUGUGUUAUUUUGGUAAUUCUCAUAAUAUUUCAGAUUUUGCCAUUAUAUUUAUUGUGGUGUUCUGUGAUCUAUGAUCACCACAAUUGCCUUUGUUUUUGUAACCAUUGUAAUUGUUUUGGGGUGCCAUGCACAAACUAAACCAAUAUCAGAUGGGAAAGUUAAUUGAUAAACUUUGUGUGUGUUCUGACUGCUCCACCAACUGGCCAUUCAUCUCUCUCUUCCUCAGGCCUCUGUAUUCUCUGAGAUACACUAUUAAAAUUAGGCCAAUUAAUAUCCCCACAAUGGCUUUUAGAUCUUAAAGUGAAAGGAAGAAUUACACAUCUCUCACUUUAAACCAAAAACUAUAAAUAAUUAAGCUUAGUGAGGAAGGCAUGUUAAAGGUCAAGAUAAGCCAAAAGCUAGGCAUCUUGUACCUAACAGUCAAGUUUUGAAUGCAAAGGUAAUGUUUUUGAAAGGCAUUAAAAACGCCACACCAGUGAGUAUGAGAAUGAUUAGAAAGCAAAACAGCCUCAUUGCUGAGAGGGAGCAAGCUUUAGUGGCCUGGUUAGAGGAUCAAACCAGCCACAACAUUUCUUUUAUCCAAAACUGAAUCCAAAGAAAGGCUCUAAUUCUCUUUAGUUCUUUCAAAGGUGAGAGCAGUGAGGAAAGUUCACAGCUAGCAGAAGUUGGCUCGUGAGGUUUAACAAAAAAAGCCAUCUCCAUAACAUAAAAUAGUGCAAGACAAAGCAGCAAGUGCUGAUGGAGAAGCUGCAGCAAGUUAUCCAGAAUAUCUAGCUAAGAUCAUUGAUGAAGGUAGCUACACUGAAUAACAAAUUUUCAAUGUAGAUAAAAUAGCCUUCUAUUGGAAGAAGAUGCCAUCUAGGACUUCCAUAGCUUGAAAGAGUAAGUCAAUGCCUAUCUUUAAAGCUUCAAAGGACAGGCUAACUCUUGUUAGGAGCAAAUGAAGCUGGUGACUUCAAGUUGAAGCCAAUGCCCAUUGAUCAUUCUGAAAAUCCUAAGGCCCUUAAAACUUAUGCUAAAUCUACUCUGUCUGUGUUUUAUAAAGAACAGCUAACCCUGGAUGACAUCAUACCUCUUUACAGCAUUUUUUAAUGUACAUUUUAAACCCAUUGUUCAGACCCACUGCUCAGAAAAAAAAAAAAAAAAAAGAUUCGUUUCAAAAUAGUACUGCUCUUUGGCAAUGCACUUGGUUGUCCAGAAGCUCUGCUGGAUAGAUAGUAUUCCUCUGAUACAUCUGGGCAAAGUCGAUCGAAAAAUUUAUUUAAAUGAUUCAUUGUUCUAGAUACCACUAAGAACCCUUGUAAUUUGUGAUUCAUGGGGGGAGGUCAAAAUAUUAACAUUAAUAGGAAUUUGGAAGAAGUUGAUUCUAACCCUCAAGGAUGACUUUGCAAGAUUCAAGAUUUCUGUGGAGGAAAUAAUUACAGGUGUGGUGGAAAUCGCAAGAGAACUAGAAUGAUAAGUAAAGCCUGAAGAUGUGGCUGAAUUGCUGCAAACUUAUGAUAAACCUUGAAUAGAUGAAGGUUCUUUCUUACAGAAGAGC